AUAUUAUUACAUCUAUCCCAUAACUUUUGUUUAUCCACAUUAGUGUCUGGUCUGGGACAUGUACCAUCAACAAAGCCAAUUUUAUUUUUAAUAGAUAACGCUACAAUCAUCUCCUUCUCCAACCCCCAUAACCACUACCCGAGAAGGGAGUGGAUAUAAGAGAAACACCAGGAACAUCAGAGGAGCAAACAAAUAAGGGACUGGUAGGGUCAACAGGAGUUGUAUUAGUACUCAUGUUAGCAGUGGUGAAAAACAAUGAGUUCAAAGUCAAAAUAUAAUCUCUGCAAGUAUUUUGAAAAACUAAAGUUGUAUCAAAAACUUCAUGCAAAUCAUAUA
This 336-nucleotide long non-coding RNA is filed under the name Nicotiana benthamiana. RNAcentral describes it as "long non-coding RNA (NBEN_LNC013226)". Lineage: Eukaryota; Viridiplantae; Streptophyta; Magnoliopsida; Solanales; Solanaceae. The record is from RNAcentral.